UGACUAUCCUGUCAGGUUUCACUUGUGGAGCACAGUACCCUAGAAGACUCACCUGGAGGAGUGAGCACAGCUUCAUGGGCUCAUGCCACAGCACUUCUAGACCCUU
This 106-nucleotide small nucleolar RNA is filed under the name Myotis lucifugus (little brown bat). The record is from RNAcentral. Lineage: Eukaryota; Metazoa; Chordata; Mammalia; Chiroptera; Vespertilionidae.